ACUCCUGCGGGAGGCAGCAGUGGGGAAUAUUGCACAAUGGGCGCAAGCCUGAUGCAGCGACGCCGCGUGGGGGAUGAAGGCCUUCGGGUUGUAAACUCCUUUCGCUAGGGACGAAGCUUUUUUGUGACGGUACCUAGAUAAGAAGCACCGGCUAACUACGUGCCAGCAGCCGCGGUAAUACGCAGGGUGCGAGCGUUGUCCGGAAUUACUGGGCGUAAAGGGCUCGUAGGUGGUUUGUCGCGUCGUCUGUGAAAUUCUGGGGCUUAACUCCGGGCGUGCAGGCGAUACGGGCAUAACUUGAGUGCUGUAGGGGUAACUGGAAUUCCUGGUGUAGCGGUGAAAUGCGCAGAUAUCAGGAGGAACACCGAUGGCGAAGGCAGGUUACUGGGCAGUUACUGACGCUGAGGAGCGAAAGCAUGGGUAGCGAACAGGAUUAGAAACCCCGGUAGUCCCAUGA
Molecule: ribosomal RNA, 457 nt
Filed under: uncultured organism
Description: partial 16S ribosomal RNA
Rfam family: Bacterial small subunit ribosomal RNA
Source: RNAcentral